RNAcentral lists this unclassified non-coding RNA (344 nucleotides) under soil metagenome. RNAcentral's name for it is "partial contains 5.8S ribosomal RNA, internal transcribed spacer 2, and large subunit ribosomal RNA". The stretch from base 1 to 119 matches the Rfam family "5.8S ribosomal RNA", at positions 35 to 154 of the family's 154-position model. The record is from RNAcentral.
GAUGAAGAACGCAGCGAAAUGCGAUACGUAAUGUGAAUUGCAAAUUCAGUGAAUCAUCGAGUCUUUGAACGCACAUUGCGCCCCCUGGUAUUCCGGGGGGCAUGCCUGUCCGAGCGUCAUUGCUGCCCUCAAGCACGGCUUGUGUGUUGGGCCCCGUCCUCCGACCCCGGGGGACGGGCCCGAAAGGCAGCGGCGGCACCGCGUCCGGUCCUCGAGCGUAUGGGGCUUUGUCACCCGCUCUGUAGGCCCGGCCGGCGCUUGCCGAUCAACCCAAAUUUUUAUCCAGGUUGACCUCGGAUCAGGUAGGGAUACCCGCUGAACUUAAGCAUAUCAUAAGCGGAGGA